Molecule: ribosomal RNA, 423 nt
Filed under: uncultured bacterium
Lineage: Bacteria
Description: bacterial SSU rRNA
Rfam family: Bacterial small subunit ribosomal RNA
Source: RNAcentral
UGGGGAAUAUUGGACAAUGGGGGAAACCCUGAUCCAGCAACGCCGCGUGAGUGAUGAAGGCCUUCGGGUCGUAAAGCUCUGUUGAGAGGGAAGAAUGGGCCGUCUUACUAACGGCUUUGACGUUACCUCUUGAGGAAGCACCGGCUAACUCUGUGCCAGCAGCCGCGGUAAUACAGAGGGUGCAAGUGUUGUUCGGAAUUAUUGGGCGUAAAGCGCGCGUAGGUUGUUUAGUAAGUCGAAUGCGAAAGCCCUGGGCUCAACCCAGGAACUGCAUCCGAAACUGCUAAGCUAGAGUUUGGUAGAGGAGAGUGGAAUUCCCGGUGUAGAGGUGAAAUUCGUAGAGAUCGGGAGGAACACCAGUGGCGAAAGCGGCUCUCUGGGCCAUCACUGACGCUAAGGCGCGAAAGCGUGGGGAGCAAACAG